GACGAACGCUGGCGGCGUGCUUAACACAUGCAAGUCGAACGGGAUCCAUGGAGUAGCAAUACUCUGGAAGAUCUAGUGGCGAACGGGUGAGUAACACGUGAGCAACCUGCCCCAAAGACUGGGAUAACCCCGGGAAACCGGAGCUAAUACCGGAUGUCCUCAUUAGAUCGCAUGGUCAUAUGAGGAAAUGAAUUUUCGCUUUGGGAGGGGCUCGCGGCUAUCAGUUUGGGUGGGUAAUGGCCUACCAAGACAUCGACGGCUAGCUGGUCUGAGAGGACGAUCAGCCACACUGGGACUGAGACACGGCCCAGACUACC
Molecule: ribosomal RNA, 317 nt
Filed under: uncultured bacterium
Lineage: Bacteria
Description: bacterial SSU rRNA
Rfam family: Bacterial small subunit ribosomal RNA
Source: RNAcentral